RNAcentral lists this ribosomal RNA (403 nucleotides) under bacterium. RNAcentral's name for it is "partial 16S ribosomal RNA". It matches the Rfam family "Bacterial small subunit ribosomal RNA", at positions 355 to 776 of the family's 1533-position model. The record is from RNAcentral.
UGGGGAAUAUUGCACAAUGGAGGGAACUCUGAUGCAGCGACGCCGCGUGAACGAAGAAGGCUUUCGAGUCGUAAAGUUCUUUUAUAUGGGAAGAUAAUGACGGUACCAUAAGAAGAAGCCCCGGCUAACUACGUGCCAGCAGCCGCGGUAAUACGUAGGGGGCUAGCGUUGUCCGGAAUCACUGGGCGUAAAGGGUUCGCAGGCGGAAAUGCAAGUCAGGUGUAAAAGGCAGUAGCUUAACUACUGUAAGCAUUUGAAACUGCAUAUCUUGAGAAGAGUAGAGGUAAGUGGAAUUUUUAGUGUAGCGGUGAAGUGCGUAGAUAUUAAAAAGAAUACCGGUGGCGAAGGCGACUUACUGGGCUCAUUCUGACGCUGAGGAACGAAAGCGUGGGUAGCAAACAGG